Molecule: long non-coding RNA, 3367 nt
Organism: Gorilla gorilla gorilla (western lowland gorilla)
Lineage: Eukaryota; Metazoa; Chordata; Mammalia; Primates; Hominidae
Exons: 4
Source: RefSeq, a predicted model, not a curated record
AAGAAACAGGCAAGGAGAGAGAAAGCAAUUGAAGGGUGAAGAGCAGAGAACUAUGAAGAUGAUUCAGGAAGAGGCACAUGGAGACUAGAGAUGAGGACCCUAAGACCUAGAGAAACUAAGUCAUUUGCUCAAGAAGACAAAGAAUCUCAAAGAUUUCUGUGGUACCUGGAGGGGACGAGCUGCUGAAGUCCAGUAUAUCCCGGCUGCUACUGAUUCCUGAUGGCUGUUGCCUACUCUGGUCCUUUCGAAGUUUCCUGACUCGCUGUGUCCCUACCCGUGAAUGAAGUCUGCAGCCCACCAUUACAGCCCAUGUUCUGAAACAACCUGCCACUGAGCUCUGUGACCUCCAGCCACACAGAGCUGCCUGCUGGUUCCUCCAUCUAUGGCCUAUGUUCACAUGGUACAGUAUGCACCUCUUUGCACUUUAUGCUGCCACUAGUCACUUAACCAUCUGUUACCCGCUUGGACUGUGAACUCCCAAAGGCAGAAACCAUAAUUAUUCAUCUUAGUGGUUCCUAGCAUGUGGCACAACAUCUGCAUAAUGUAUGUGCUUGAUUAGUGUUAAUUGAAUGAAAGUAAACUACUUUUAUUUUCAGUGGCCUUCUAAUUAUGUAAAGCAGUAUAAUUCUAAUGAAUACUAGAGUCCUAAAUGUAACAUAACAGUGUAUCUCUGUGUUUCAGACAUUUUUAAAAAAGAAGUGAAUUUUAGUGAAGUACGUAUUUUCUAAUUAUGUAAACAUAAAAUGUCCUCAAAUUACUCCAAUUUUCUCAUGCUCUUUUAUGUGAGUAUGUAGGAAAAUGGGGCCUCCUGUUAUUAUCUGUCCUGUUUGGUUUUAAUUAGCGUUGUUAACAUAUAACAAAACACGCAAACAUAGGAACAUCUAGAUGACUAUAGCUUUCAUUUUUUAUUCCCAUAUUUCGAGGCACAUAGAUGUAGCCACUUGGUACUUAAAUAUUUCUUUACAAAACAUCAACAGACAGGAAAAAAAUGUAAAUAGAAAUGCUAGUAAUUUUAAUGAGAGCUAGCUCUAAAAAUCCAAGAUUAACUCCAUCUCAAAUACCAUAAAUAAAUACUUAUUUUUCUGGACCAAUGCUUAUCUGGAGCCAGCAUCAAACACACAGCUAUGACAGAUGUCUUAGGACAUUUUCCUGAGUAAUAAAUAAAAAAACAAAUAUAAUGAAGGACAAAUACUAACCCUAUGAUUGCUUUCUUCUGCCCUUCACUUGACCAGUUCUAUGUACUAUGUUAUCUUCUGUAAUAUCCAUGCACAGAUUACACAUGCUAUUGAGAGGUGACAGUGUGCUGGCAGCCCUUGCUUGCUCUGGGCACCUCCUCAGGCCAUGGCGCCACUCUGGCUGUGCUUGAGGAGACCUUCAGCCCCCCGCUGCACUAUGGGAGCCCCUCUCUGGGCUGGCCUAGGCCGGAGCCGGCUCCCUCUGUUUGUGGGGAGGUGUGGAGGGAGAAGCGCCGGCGGGAAUUGGGGCUGUGCAUGCACUCGCAGCCCAAUGUGAGUUCCGGGUGAGAGUGGGCUUGGUGGGCCCCACACUCAGAGUGGCCAGCUGGUGCUGCCGGCCCCGGGCAGUGAGGGGCUUAGCACUCGGGCCAGCAGCUGCAGAGGGAGUGCUGGGUCCCCCAGCACUGCCAGCCCGCCCGCCCGCUCCACACUCGAAUUUUCAUGGGGCCUCAGCUGCCCCCCUCAAUGGGCUCCCGCCAGGCCCCAGCCUCCCUGACGGGUGCUGCCCCCUGCUCCACGCACCUGGUCAUAUCCACCGCCCAAUGGUGGAGUGCAGGCAGGUGGCACAGGACUGGUGGGCAGCUCCGCCUGUGGCCCCAGCGCGGGAUCCACUAGGCGAAGCCAGCCGGGCUCCUCAGUCAGUUAGAGACUUGGAGAACUUUUAUAUCUAGCUGGAAGAUUGUAUAUGCACCAAUCAGCACUCUGUGUCUAGCUCAGGGAUUGUAAAUGCACCAAUCAGCACUCUGUGUCUAGCUCAAGGUUUGUAAAUGCACCAAUCAGUGCUCUGUGUCUAGCUAAUCUAGUGGGGACUUGGAGAACUUUUGUGUCUAGCUAAAGGAUUAUAAACGCACCAAUCAGCACUCUGUGUCUAGCUCAGGGAUUGUAAAUACACCAAUCAGCACCCUGUGUCUAGCUCAAGGUUUGUAAACACACCAAUCAGCACCCUGUGUCUAGCUCAAGGUUUGUAAACGCACCAGUUGGUGCUUUGUGUCUAGCUAAUCUACUGGGGACUUGGAAAAGUUUUGUGUCUAGCUAAAGGAUUGUAAACGCACCAAUCAGCACUCUGUGUCUAGCUCGGGGAUUGUAAAUACACCAAUCAGCACUCUGUAUCUAGCUCAAGGUUUGUAAAUGCACCAAUCAGAACCCUGUGUCUAGCUGAAGGUUUGUAAAUGCACCAAUCAGUGAUCUGUGUCUAGUUAAUCUAGUGGGGACUUGGAGAACUUUUACGUCUAGCGAGAUGAUUGUAAAUACACCAAUCAGCACUCUGUGUCUAGCUCAGGCAUUGUAAACACACCAAUCAGCACCCUGUCAAAACGGACGAAUCAGCUCUCUGUAAAAUGGACCAAUCAGCUGUCUGUAAAACGGAACAAUCAGAUCUCUGUAAAAUGGGCCAAUCAGCAGGAUGUGGGUGGGGUUAGAUAAGGGAAUAAUAGCAGGCUGCCCAGGCCCGCAGUGGCAAACCCCUGGGUCCUCUUCCACAUAGUGGAAGGUUUGUUCUUUCACUCUUUGUAAUAAAUCUUGCUGCUGCUCGUUCUUUGGGUCUGUACUGUCUUUAUGAGCUGUAAAUAACACUGCAAAGGUCUGCAGCUUCACUCCUGAGGCCAGCGAGACCACGAACCCAGCGAGAGGAAUGAGUUGAAUGAGUAACUCCAAACGGGAGGAAUGAACAACUCCAGAUGCGCUGCCUUAAGAGCUGUAACACUCACUGCAAAGGUCUGCAGCUUCACUCCUGAAGCCAGUGAGACCACGAACCCACCAGAAGGAAGAAACUCUGAACACGUCCAAACAUCAGAAGGAGCAAACUCCGGACACACCAUCUUUAAGAACUGUAACACUCACCGCGAGGGUUUGCGGCUUCAUUCUUGAAGUCAGUGAGACCAAGAACCCACCAAUUCCGGACACAGUCAUGUACUAAAGAACUAUGAUACAUUUUUGAAAUAUUGUUGAUAAUCCUAGCUAAAUUUUUAGACAAGAAAACAAGCUCAGGAUGGCAAGCAAUUUCAUAGAUCUCAAAAAGUUCCUGUUGAAGUGAAAAACUAUUAUUUUGGAAUCUGUUGAUUGUUGUAUAAAGCCUCAAUCCAUUUCUGAAUAUUAAUGAAUUUUUAAUAAAGUCAUAAUUGUCUUUGUUCCAA